UGCAGGGUUGGUACAUUGUGACCUAUGC
Molecule: non-coding RNA, 28 nt
Filed under: Homo sapiens (human)
Lineage: Eukaryota; Metazoa; Chordata; Mammalia; Primates; Hominidae
Source: RNAcentral